UUGUUGUGAGUUAUAUAUUUAAUUAUCCUUUUAUAUUAUGUUCCUUAGUGAUUCUUGCAUAUUCUCCGUUGCUUUUAUUGCUUUGGCCAAGUAGUAGAUCGUAACUCCAAGAGGGAGCAUUAUGCAUUAUUGUGGGUUCGGGCCCCUCGAUGUCUAGCUUGAGUGGCAGAAACAGGAGACUAGGGGAUGUGCUUAUUGCCAACAGGGAGAAAACAACGGUGCUUGUGACCACGGUUGCAAGGAUUGUUUACCUUACGCAUAGUUCGUUAAUGCAGUUGUUCGUUGCUUUGAGUUUACACUUUGGGUGGGGUUCACAACUUAAUACCUGAGAGGUGUUCUGGAUAGAUAUAUCAAGUUGGAUGAUUAGUAAGUAGAUGUUUAUAAACAAAUGGUCUACUUGUCUUGUCGUACUGCCCAUUACUAUUGAACCUCUAACUAUCAGGGAGCAUAAUUAGCAUUGUGGUGCGAUCAUAAUUCUGUCAAUUGCCCAACUGUGAUUUGUUUACCCUAUCAUAGUUGCUUAUCGUCUUUUGGGAGAGAGACAUCACAAGUGAACAUCAUGUGACUCCGGUCCAUAUCACCAUCAUUGUUUACAC
This 596-nucleotide long non-coding RNA is filed under the name Hordeum vulgare. Its description in RNAcentral is "long non-coding RNA (HVUL_LNC004826)". Lineage: Eukaryota; Viridiplantae; Streptophyta; Magnoliopsida; Poales; Poaceae. The record is from RNAcentral.